UACGAACUGUGCGAACGUUAUUCGGAAUCACUGGGCUUAAAGGGUGCGUAGGCGGCGACUCAAGUCAGGUGUGAAAUCCCCCGGCUCAACCGGGGAACAGCGCUUGAAACUAGGUGGCCCGAGUGAGGCAGGGGUGUAUGGAACUUCCGGUGGAGCGGUGAAAUGUGUAGAGAUCGGAAGGAACGCCGGCGGCGAAAGCGGUACACUGGGCCUUGUCUGACGCUGAGGCACGAAAGCUAGGGGAGUGAACGGG
This 253-nucleotide ribosomal RNA is filed under the name uncultured bacterium. RNAcentral describes it as "partial 16S ribosomal RNA". It matches the Rfam family "Bacterial small subunit ribosomal RNA", at positions 524 to 776 of the family's 1533-position model. The record is from RNAcentral.